Molecule: ribosomal RNA, 305 nt
Filed under: Streptococcus sp.
Lineage: Bacteria; Bacillati; Bacillota; Bacilli; Lactobacillales; Streptococcaceae
Description: bacterial SSU rRNA
Rfam family: Bacterial small subunit ribosomal RNA
Source: RNAcentral
GCACGAGCGCACCCCUAUUGUUAGUUGCCAUCAUUGAGUUGGGCACUCUAGCGAGACUGCCGGUAAUAAACCGGAGGAAGGUGGGGAUGACGUCAAAUCAUCAUGCCCCUUAUGACCUGGGCUACACACGUGCUACAAUGGUUGGUACAACGAGUCGCAAGUCGGUGACGGCAAGCAAAUCUCUUAAAGCCAAUCUCAGUUCGGAUUGUAGGCUGCAACUCGCCUACAUGAAGUCGGAAUCGCUAGUAAUCGCGGAUCAGCACGCCGCGGUGAAUACGUUCCCGGGCCUUGUACACACCGCCCGU